CCGUAGACCCCGGGAAGGCGCGGGCCUUAGUGGCGGACGGGUGAGUAACGCGUGGGGAACCUGCCCCGUACCGGGGGAUAACACCUGGAAACAGGUGCUAAUACCGCAUAACAGAAGGGGACGCAUGUUCCUUUCUUGAAAACUCCGGUGGUACGGGAUGGACCCGCGUCUGAUUAGCUGGUUGGCGGGGGUAACGGCCCACCAAGGCGACGAUCAGUAGCCGGCCUGAGAGGGCGGACGGCCACAUUGGGACUGAGACACGGCCCAAACUCCUACGGAAGGCAGCAG
Molecule: ribosomal RNA, 288 nt
Filed under: uncultured bacterium
Lineage: Bacteria
Description: partial 16S ribosomal RNA
Rfam family: Bacterial small subunit ribosomal RNA
Source: RNAcentral